Molecule: ribosomal RNA, 495 nt
Filed under: uncultured bacterium
Lineage: Bacteria
Description: partial 16S ribosomal RNA
Rfam family: Bacterial small subunit ribosomal RNA
Source: RNAcentral
GACGAACGCUGGCGGCGUGCCUAAUACAUGCAAGUAGAACGCUGAAGGAGGAGCUUGCUUCUCUGGAUGAGUUGCGAACGGGUGAGUAACGCGUAGGUAACCUGCCUGGUAGCGGGGGAUAACUAUUGGAAACGAUAGCUAAUACCGCAUAAGAGUAGAUGUCGCAUGACAUUUGCUUAAAGGGUGCAAUUGCAUCACUACCAGAUGGACCUGCGUUGUAUUAGCUAGUUGGUGAGGUAACGGCUCACCAAGGCAACGAUACAUAGCCGACCUGAGAGGGUGAUCGGCCACACUGGGACUGAGACACGGCCCAGACUCCUACGGGAGGCAGCAGUAGGGAAUCUUCGGCAAUAGACGGAAGUCUGACCGAGCAACGCCGCGUGAGUGAAGAAGGUUGUCGGAUCGUAAAGCUCUGUUGUAAGAGAAGAACGAGUGUGAGAGUGGAAAGUUCACACUGUGACGGUAUCUUACCAGAAAGGGACGGCUAACUACGUG